This 68-nucleotide transfer RNA is filed under the name Conus ebraeus. RNAcentral's name for it is "tRNA-Glu". Lineage: Eukaryota; Metazoa; Mollusca; Gastropoda; Neogastropoda; Conidae. The record is from RNAcentral.
GUUCUUGAGGUGUAGUUUGCACAUCAGGUUUUCAUCCUGAAGGUAUAGAAAGGAAUCUAUCUAGAAUA